GGGACGGGCCUUUCAGGCAUCCUCUCCUAAAGACUUUCAAGGCCGGCCCUUUUGGGUCGGCCCUUUUUUUGCCCGGC
Molecule: small RNA, 77 nt
Filed under: Edaphosphingomonas laterariae
Lineage: Bacteria; Pseudomonadati; Pseudomonadota; Alphaproteobacteria; Sphingomonadales; Rhizorhabdaceae
Description: Sphingomonas sp. LNB2 Makes More Granules Regulator RNA (mmgR)
Rfam family: Makes More Granules Regulator RNA (mmgR)
About the family: SuhB later renamed mmgR (makes more granules regulator) was a putative non-coding RNA found multiple times in the Agrobacterium tumefaciens genome and related alpha-proteobacteria. Other non-coding RNAs uncovered in the same analysis include: speF, ybhL, metA, and serC. Several studies inSinorhizobium meliloti showed that suhB element is indeed a non-coding RNA:firstly it was detected on Northern blot and called Sm8RNA, secondly in an RNAseq study referred to as SmelC689.
Source: Rfam by way of RNAcentral